AAACAUGUCUUUACGGUCCCUAUAUAAAGUCUAGCCUGCCCAUUGACAUAAAGGUUAAAAGGCCGCGGUAAUUUGACCGUGCGAAGGUAGCAUAAUCAUUAGCCUCUUAAUUGGGGGAUGGAAUGAAGGGUUGGAUGAGAAGUAAUCUGUCUUUUUAUUAAGGUUUGAAUUUUACCUUUAAGUGAAAAGGCUUUAAUUUUAUAAAGUGAAGAUAAGACCCUAUAAAACUUUACAUAAAUUUAGAUUAUUUUUAAUUUAUAUUGAAUAAAAUUAGUAUAAUCUAAUUUAUGUUUCGUUGGGGCGACGAGAGUAGAAAUAAAAGUAUCUGUUUUUAUAAUAAGUUAAUAAUGAUUAAAAAUGAUCCCUUCCUAAGGAUUAAAAGAUUAAGUUACUUUAGGGAUAACAGCGUAAUUUUCUUUGAGAGUUCUUAUCGACAAGAUUAGUUGCGACCUCGAUGUUGAAUUAAAAUUAUUCUUCUAAGUGCAGAAGCUUAGAAAGAAAGUCUGUUCGACUUUUAAAUUUUUAC
This 526-nucleotide ribosomal RNA is filed under the name Palaemonella atlantica. RNAcentral describes it as "partial large subunit ribosomal RNA". It matches the Rfam family "Bacterial large subunit ribosomal RNA", at positions 1811 to 2599 of the family's 2925-position model. The record is from RNAcentral. Lineage: Eukaryota; Metazoa; Arthropoda; Malacostraca; Decapoda; Palaemonidae.